GGGGAUGUACAGGAUUCGACGGAAGACUGUGAUUUCCAUAGCAUCAAGCCAGAUGCGAGCUCUGUAAAAACGCACAAAACAAGUGUCAACUCACUUGCAAAACGUGUUGAAUCAUUCGUUGCUUCAGUAAAGGCUGGUUUCCAGUCUCUACAGCAAGGAUUUGCUUACAACAUGGCAGUUGCAUAAUUAGCGACUGCAGGCUCGGAUGGCUCUUUCCUGAUAGAGCCGCCAUAGCUUUUAACCAUUCAGGAUAUAUAGCUUAGGUAACUUGACGAGCCUAAUCUACGAAACUUAAAUCGUCAACGCUGCAUCUUAUUUUGCUGAUUUUUACGAUGCAUGUCGUAUACUAAAUCAGAUACGCUUGUAAUGAUGUUACGGAAUGAAUCUUCUGGACGGGGGUUCGAUUCCCCCCGUCUCCACCA
This 422-nucleotide transfer-messenger RNA is filed under the name Candidatus Dojkabacteria. RNAcentral's name for it is "JAFGCJ01 sp016932785 Standard tmRNA". It matches the Rfam family "transfer-messenger RNA". From Rfam's summary of the family: Bacterial tmRNA, also known as 10Sa RNA or SsrA, is named for its dual tRNA and mRNA-like properties. Its role is to liberate the mRNA from a stalled ribosome. To accomplish this part of the tmRNA is used as a reading frame that ends in a translation stop signal. RNAcentral also lists the same sequence under 1 other name. The record is from RNAcentral.